AGAGUUUGAUCCUGGCUCAGGAUGAACGCUGGCUGUGUGCCUAAUACAUGCAUGUUGAACGAAGCAGUAUUUAUAUUGACUUAGUAGCGAAUGGGUGAGUAACACGUACCUAACCUACCUUUAAGAUUGGGAUAACUACUGGAAACAGUUGCUAAUACCAAAUAACAAAUUUUUUCGCAUGAAAAAAUUUUAAAAGAAGCAUAAGAGGUAACUCCGCUUCACUUAAAAAUGGGGGUGCGGAACAUUAGCUAGUUGGUAGAGUAAUGGCCUACCAAGGCGAUGAUGUUUAGCCGGGCCGAGAGGCUGUACGGCCACACUGGGACUGAGAUACGGCCCAGACUCCUACGGGAGGCAGCAGUAGGGAAUUUUCCACAAUGAGCGAAAGCUUGAUGGAGCGACACAGCGUGCAGGAUGAAGGCCUUCGGGUUGUAAACUGCUGUGGUAAGGAAAGAAAAAAUAGGGUAGGAAAUGACCCUUAAUUGACGGUACCUUAUUAGAAAGCGAUGGCUAACUAUGUGCCAGCAGCCGCGGUAAUACAUAGGUCGCAAGCGUUAUCCGGAAUUAUUGGGCGUAAAGAGUUCGUAGGUGGUUUGUUAAGUCUGAAGUUAAAUCCAAAAGCUCAACUUUUGCCCGCUUUAGAUACUAGCAAACUGGAAUUGCAAAGAGGUUAGCGGAAUUCCUAGUGAAGCGGUGGAAUGCGUAGAUAUUAGGAAGAACACCAAUAGGCGAAGGCAGCUAACUGGUUGUAUAUUGACACUGAGGAACGAAAGCGUGGGGAGCAAACAGGAUUAGAUACCCUGGUAGUCCACGCCGUAAACGAUGAUCAUUAGUUGGUAGAAAAAUUUACCGAUGCAGCUAACGCAUUAAAUGAUCCGCCUGAGUAGUAUACUCGCAAGAGUGAAACUUAAAGGAAUUGACGGGGACCCGCACAAGCGGAGGGGCAUGUGGUUUAAUUUGAAGAUACGCGUAGAACCUUACCCACUCUUGACAUCCCUUGCAAAGUUAUAGAGAUAUAAUGGAGGCUAACAAGGUGACAGAUGGUGCAUGGUUGUCGUCAGCUCGUGUCGUGAGAUGUUAGGUUAAGUCCUGCAACGAGCGCAACCCUUGUCUUUAGUUACUAACAUUAAGUUGAGAACUCUAGAGAGACUGCCAACGAAAGUUGGAGGAAGGUGGGGACGACGUCAAAUCAUCAUGCCUCUUACGAGUGGGGCAACACACGUGCUACAAUGGUUGGUACAAAGAGAUGCGACAUAGUGAUAUCAAGCAAAUCUCAAAAAACCAAUCUCAGUUCGGAUUGAAGUCUGCAACUCGACUUCAUGAAGUCGGAUUCGCUAGUAAUCGCAGAUCAGCUAUGCUGCGGUGAAUACGUUCUCGGGUCUUGUACACACCGCCCGUCACACCAUGGGAGUUGGUAAUACCCGAAGAUGGUUAGUUAACCUCGGAGGCAACUAUCUAAGGUAGGACUGAUGACUGGGGUGAAGUCGUAACAAGGUAUCCCUACGAGAACGUGGGGAUGGAUCACCU
This 1524-nucleotide ribosomal RNA is filed under the name Mesomycoplasma neurolyticum. Its description in RNAcentral is "Mycoplasma neurolyticum 16S ribosomal RNA". It matches the Rfam family "Bacterial small subunit ribosomal RNA". Lineage: Bacteria; Bacillati; Mycoplasmatota; Mycoplasmoidales; Metamycoplasmataceae. The record is from RNAcentral.